ACAUGGCACGGACAUGGCGAAACGGUGAAAUGGAAAUGGGAAAAUCUCAUUUUCAAAAAGUUGGAUACGGGAAGGAAUGUGGGGAAGCGUGUAAAUAUUAAAAUAUAGGGUACAUCCAUAAUUCUAAAAUAUAUAUAUAUAUUUAUAAAACAUUUAACGUAUAUACCUAUCCUUAAUUACAUAUUUGUGUUAUAUAGAAUUUACAAGUUUCAAUCCGGAUUAUCAUUCGACAAAUUACAUUUGAGGCAUAUAAUUUAUUUAGGUAGCAUCUACUAAAAAUAUUAAAACACCACUAAAAAUGAAAACGAGGCACAAGAUUUAAGAUUUAUCUCUAUGUAGGCAAUUCCUAGCCUUUAUUUAAAACAGGUUUCUGAUUUUCUUUUAGCCGAAACGCGUUUCUAUUUUUUUUUUUUCUACCAAAAAUAUCCCUGAAACUUUUAAAUAUUUACAUAAAUGACCCCAAAACAUUUCCGACAUGGUGUUUCGGUUUUCGAAACAUGGAAACGUAUGUGUAUAGAAGUUUCCGUGUAUAUUAAUAAUUAAUAUGUUAGCUAUCAGCACUUACCGAGCUACUCCCUCUGUCCCAUAUUAUAUGUCUUUUUAGAGAGUUUUUCUUGUCCCAAAUUAUUUGUCAUUUUAGAUUUUCAAUGCAUCAUUAAUUGCAUUAUUUUCAAUUUUACCCUUUUAUCAUUCCUAAUUAGUUAAGUUGUAAAACAAUUAAUGUCAAGGAUAUAUUAGUAAUUUCCUAUGUUUUUUACUAUAAUCUAUACACAUUUAUUGAUUUUCUUAAUAUGUGUGAAACAACCCAAAACGUCAUUUAAAUUGGGACGGAGGGAGUAGUUCAAUUGUUCUGCUUCUCCCCUGCCACUAACACCGCCGCUGGUUGCGGUGGUGCCGCCGCCGCGGCGCCGCCUACCAUACAGCCAUAUAUAUACAUACAUCAUCGAAGAACCCUUCUUCCGAUCGACAUAUACAUACACAUUCGAUUUAUUAUCAACUGGAAGAAGGGUCCUUUGAUGGUGUAUUUCAUGGCAUAUAAUUUUGUAUGUAAAUAUAUUAUAUUUUUGUUGCUUUUAUCAAAGGGAAUAAGGCUAAUUUUAGGGUUGUAAUUGAUGGUUUAAUAUUAUGGCUAUCUUUGUGUGCACAUAAUUGUGAAAAUUGUACGAAUAUAUGCUAUUUAUAUGCCUCUAUUGAUGCACAUCAUUUAAUAUAUAUACAUGUAUAAAUAAAUAUAUAAAUAUUAAUUGGCUGUUUUUUAAGUUAGGUGUUGAAAUAUUUGAUUAAUGGGAAAAUUAUAGUUUUUGUCACUCGAGUUUGGACUGGUUUUACAUUUGGUCCCCGUGUAUAAAUAUUUGAUAUUUUUAGUGCGUAGAAGAUAAAUUUACGAUCCUGCAUCGUUAUGAUAUAGCAAAUAUUAUACAUGAUCCAGGUAUUGCCUUGUUUGAGGGAAAAAUCGAACGAAAAUCCGUUGAGAGAAUUCUUGAGAAGAUGGAGAAAUCACAAAACUAUGACAAAGUGGCUCUCGGUAUUCUUACUAUAUACCGAGUAGGAAAACUGCGUUGACUUGUAGAAACCGGCCACUCGAUAUUCUUUAAUCUGGCUCAUGAUAAAUUUCUCCGAAAAUUUUAAUGUUUCGUUCCGUUCGGUUUUUUUCUUCAUUCUGCUGCUGUUUUGUAUAUAAAUCGGUUUUUUUCAUUCAUGAUGGACUUACUUACUCUGCUUUAGGUUUACGUGGAAUUCGUAAAAGAUCGAGUUCGUGAUACUAUUACAUCAUCUCGGUAAGUUCUUGAGUAACUAUUCAACCAAGUGCAUUACAUGUUAAAUCUAAUACGUAUAAUAAAUCAUCGGGUUUUUGUAAUAUUCGAUGAUGUACUGAUUAAAGAAACCACACAGAUUCGUGAGGAACAGAUCGAUGUGAAAGAAGUCCUCGGAUUUUGUGAGGAAAUCAACGGUGUAGAUGCAUCAAAAAAAUAUGCUAAAGAUAUCGAAGAAGCGAUUACCAAUUCUAGGUUUAAUUGUUUAAGGUUAGUCCCGAAUCAUUAUUUAUUGCGUUUUAUCGAGUUUUUCUUAACUAACUGUGGUGAAAAUUAAAUUGUCUUUGCAACAACAGGCUGUGAGACUUGGAUUGUUACAUGCAUUGUUGCUCAAGGUACAUGCAGGAAUGCUUCAAGGAAGAGAAGCCCUUUUCAUGAUGAUUAGUGUUCUUAUUUGGUUUUGUAGUUAGUAGAUAAAUAGGAUUGAUUAUUUAAAAGUCAGAAGUAAAAUAUACCUUAAAUCAGAAUAAAAAUAUUUUUUUUUUGUAAAA
Molecule: long non-coding RNA, 2305 nt
Filed under: Erythranthe guttata (spotted monkey flower)
Lineage: Eukaryota; Viridiplantae; Streptophyta; Magnoliopsida; Lamiales; Phrymaceae
Description: long non-coding RNA (EGUT_LNC000274)
Source: RNAcentral